CCAGACUCCUACGGGAGGCAGCAGUGAGGAAUAUUGGUCAAUGGGCGCGAGCCUGAACCAGCCAAGUCGCGUGAGGGAGGACGGCCCUACGGGUUGUAAACCUCUUUUGCCGGGGAGCAACGGGCGUCACGUGUGGCGCCACUGAGAGUACCCGGAGAAAAAGCAUCGGCUAACUCCGUGCCAGCAGCCGCGGUAAUACGGAGGAUGCGAGCGUUAUCCGGAUUUAUUGGGUUUAAAGGGUGCGUAGGCGGGCUGUUAAGUCAGCGGUCAAAUGUCGGGGCUCAACCCCGGCCUGCCGUUGAAACUGGCGGCCUCGAGUGGGCGAGAAGUAUGCGGAAUGCGUGGUGUAGCGGUGAAAUGCAUAGAUAUCACGCAGAACUCCGAUUGCGAAGGCAGCUCACUGGAGCGCAACUGACGCUGAAGCUCGAAAGUGCGGGUAUCGAACAGGAUUAGAUACCCCCGUAAG
Molecule: ribosomal RNA, 466 nt
Filed under: uncultured bacterium
Lineage: Bacteria
Description: bacterial SSU rRNA
Rfam family: Bacterial small subunit ribosomal RNA
Source: RNAcentral